RNAcentral lists this ribosomal RNA (301 nucleotides) under uncultured bacterium. RNAcentral's name for it is "partial 16S ribosomal RNA". It matches the Rfam family "Bacterial small subunit ribosomal RNA", at positions 509 to 809 of the family's 1533-position model. The record is from RNAcentral.
CAGCAGCCGCGGGAAUACGUAGGGUGCGAGCGUUAAUCGGAAUUACUGGGCGUAAAGCGUGCGCAGGCGGUUGUGUAAGACAGGUGUGAAAUCCCCGGGCUCAACCUGGGAAUGGCAAUGGAUACUGGCAAGCUAGGGUGUGUCAGAGGAUGGUGGAAUUCCCGGUGUAGCGGUGAAAUGCGUAGAGAUCGGGAGGAACAUCAGUGGCGAAGGCGGCCAUCUGGGACAACACUGACGCUGAGGCACGAAAGCGUGGGGAGCAAACAGGAUUAGAUACCCGCGUAGUCCCUGUCUCUUAUAA